UAUGGUGCUCUGCUUUACAUUUGUGACCUGAAUGAUGCUGAUAACACUGUAGUGUUUCAGCUGUUUCUGAUCAGGGUUUGCACAAUGGUAAGCUUUCUCUGUUUCUCUCUGUAUUCACUGCAAGGAGCUGGGGGUAUAGAAGAAGCUGGGAUGGGGCACAGCUGUGACAAGCUGACCCUUGCUGCCUAGUUGGUAUUCCAUUCCGUGUAACGGCAUGUUCACCAUGAAACUAUCAGCAGCCUUUCCAGAGAAGCUAUUCCUUGGAGACCGGCUGAGCAUCAGUUUGCUUGGGAAAGAGCGCUCAGAACAACAGCAAAGCAGUGGAAGUGUAACACAAACAGUAGAAAUGAUAUUUCCAGGGCAGCACUGAAGGAGGAUAUCUGAUGGAAGUGCUACUCUAUCUCAGCUGGACUGUCUGCCCAGGUCCCACUGGCAAAAAUUGGAUCCAGACUGAAAGUGAUGGCAAAACUGCCACUGAGCAAUCCAUACCAGCUCCUGUCUGAACAUCUCCUGUCAGAGGCCCCUUACGUGUCUGUUUCCUACCUUCUAAAGAUAGCAACAGCAGUGACUGAGUACUGCAGUUACUUUCUCCCAGCAGCCAACAGACCUAAAAGGCUGUCUGUUUUCUCUCCUGACUACAAUCAUUGUAAGCCCAGAGGUGCUGGAGGCACACCGCAGCACAGACACCUAUGGUGAGGAGCUGGCUAGGCAAACACCUUCCUAACCUGUUGGGGAGAGGGAAGCAGGGAGGGAAACUGAACUUCUGCUCUAACUCA
This is a long non-coding RNA of Lagopus muta (rock ptarmigan), 776 nucleotides long. RefSeq lists it as uncharacterized. The record is from RefSeq and is a predicted model, not a curated record. The transcript has 4 exons. NCBI's taxonomy places the organism in Eukaryota, Metazoa, Chordata, Aves, Galliformes, Phasianidae.